UACGUAGGGUGCGAGCGUUAAUCGGAAUUACUGGGCGUAAAGCGUGCGCAGGCGGUUCGCUGUGUCCGAUGUGAAAGCCCCGGGCUCAACCUGGGAAUGGCAUGGGAAACUGGCGGGCUGGAGUGUGGCAGAGGGGGGUGGAAUUCCGCGUGUAGCAGUGAAAUGCGUAGAGAUGCGGAGGAACACCGAUGGCGAAGGCAGCCCCCUGGGCCAACACUGACGCUCAGGCACGAAAGCGUGGGGAGCGAACAGG
RNAcentral lists this ribosomal RNA (253 nucleotides) under uncultured bacterium. Its description in RNAcentral is "partial 16S ribosomal RNA". It matches the Rfam family "Bacterial small subunit ribosomal RNA", at positions 524 to 776 of the family's 1533-position model. The record is from RNAcentral.